Molecule: long non-coding RNA, 1385 nt
Organism: Aquila chrysaetos chrysaetos
Lineage: Eukaryota; Metazoa; Chordata; Aves; Accipitriformes; Accipitridae
Exons: 3
Source: RefSeq, a predicted model, not a curated record
GUAAGUGCAGACAAAUGGAAAGAUGUAAAUAAAUUCAUGCUAAAAAAGAGCACAUCACUGCUGAGCAUAAGCACUAUUAACCACUAGCUGCUAUAUCAUACUGCAGCUACAGGUGGGUGGUGGCCAAAGCACAGUCCCACAUAAACAGUCCAAAAGUACAGCCCUCUUCUCCCCAGAAACUAUCUUGCCUUGCAGCUCCUCUCUGAAAAGCUUCCAUAUCACUCCCUGAAAUCCCAGGAACAAUGAAAGAAAAGUAAGGAAGGCAGUGUGCAGAGGAAGGCAGAGAAGCAUGGUCCAGUACUCAGAUUAUCAUGGCACAGGGCAGAUUUGAGAUGCUCCUUCAGGGUGGGGAUACAGCUCCAUUCCUUCCUCCUCUUACAGAGUGCGCAUCUAAUCAUGGCAGGGCGUUGAACUCCAUUUGCACGGCUGACAAUGGGAUCUGGCAGCAGUUCAAAGGCAUUUCUAGCGAAGUGACUGAACAAGCUCACUGCCGGCGCAGGCAGCCAGGGAUGCAGAGCACCCGCUUUCCUCCCCUUCGCUCUCCAGGCUUCAGGGGCAGGUGCUGCACCACGGGCAGCCAGUUCUCCUUUUGUUCCAGUGGCAAGAGGAUCAAGGAGGAAACCAAAAAGGUACCGCCACAGAGAACAGCAGCACCUAAACCCACAUCAAUAAGAAUGUCACAGUUACAUUGACCAGCUAGCUGCAGUAAGUGCAGUAAGCUCCGUCCCAAAAGUAUUUUCUACUGGCUCAUUGCUCCAACUGGACAGGAACAAGCCCCGGAAGCUAAGAGCUACUGUUGAUAAGGGAAGCACUUUGAACCUUGAUGGACAGAUACUCUGAUCCACUAUGGGCAAUGGAGAAGACAUACCAGUAGCAGUUUCUUCUGCAGGAAAAACAUGUUAUAAAUUAUAUCACUGUAGCUACAGUGAUAAAAAGUCUUAUGAAGUGUGCCACACAAAUGCAGAACAAAGAAGAGCUUAUAGUUUAAGGUUAAGAAAAGAGACAUCAGAAAGAUGUAUCGGCAAAGCUGCAACAGAGGGUAAGACAACAGUAAUCAACAAAACUGGUCUAACCUUUUUAAAAUCAAAGGAGUUUUGUAGGUAUUUUAAACAUUUCUAGAGACCUUCCUAAAUAUGAGGGGCAGAAUGAGAGGAUGAUAGUUGGACAAUUUAUGAAGUGCAAAGUGGAAGCUGUUAUCAUUGACCUGAGAUAAAAGAAGCUAUACACUGCCACAAAAAAGAAGACACAUUACUUAGUAUUUUGACAAGAUCUUAUGCUUGCUGGUAUAUAAACAGAUCCCAUCACUUCAGGAUCCCUUUCAUUCCAAGAACCCAUAUCAGUGACAGAUAGUAACCACCACCAACAGCAUCACUGCCGCCUCCCAU